UACGGAGGGUGCAAGCGUUAUCCGGAUUUACUGGGUUUAAAGGGUGCGUAGGCGGGCUUUUAGGUCAGUGGUGAAAUCUCCGGGCUCAACCCGGAAAUUGCCAUUGAUACUAUUAGUCUUGAAUUAAGUUGAGGUGGGCGGAAUGUGUCAUGUAGCGGUGAAAUGCUUAGAUAUGACACAGAACACCGAUUGCGAAGGCAGCUCGCUAAACUUAUAUUGACGCUGAGGCCCGAAAGCGUGGGGAUCAAACAGG
Molecule: ribosomal RNA, 253 nt
Filed under: uncultured bacterium
Lineage: Bacteria
Description: partial 16S ribosomal RNA
Rfam family: Bacterial small subunit ribosomal RNA
Source: RNAcentral